CUGCUUCUUCGACACCCUCCUCUUCCUCCUCCACGCCUCCAACCAGCCCAAGUCCUCAUUGUCCGCCGCCCUUCCCACCACCAUUCCCUUCCUCACCCUCCACGCCUCCGCGACCGCCUCUCCUCGCUGCACCUACUCGCUCUUCUCAGUACUUUGGUCGGUCAUUUUGUAUUGGUCCAUGAGUUAUGGAAUGCUCGUAUGGCCAAAAAUAAUUUUAUCAACUCUUGCGAAGUUACAUUCAUAUAGAAUAUUGGCC
Molecule: long non-coding RNA, 256 nt
Filed under: Elaeis guineensis (African oil palm)
Lineage: Eukaryota; Viridiplantae; Streptophyta; Magnoliopsida; Arecales; Arecaceae
Description: long non-coding RNA (EGUI_LNC019246)
Source: RNAcentral